Molecule: ribosomal RNA, 253 nt
Filed under: uncultured bacterium
Lineage: Bacteria
Description: partial 16S ribosomal RNA
Rfam family: Bacterial small subunit ribosomal RNA
Source: RNAcentral
UACGAAGGGGGCUAGCGUUGCUCGGAAUUACUGGGCGUAAAGCGCACGUAGGCGGAUUGUUAAGUCGGGGGUGAAAUCCUGGAGCUCAACUCCAGAACUGCCUUCGAUACUGGCGAUCUCGAGUUCGGGAGAGGUGAGUGGAACUGCGAGUGUAGAGGUGAAAUUCGUAGAUAUUCGCAAGAACACCAGUGGCGAAGGCGGCUCACUGGCCCGAUACUGACGCUGAGGAGCGAAAGCGUGGGUAGCAAACAGG